AGGGUUUGAUUCUGGCUCAGGAUGAACGCUGGCGGCGUGCUUAACACAUGCAAGUCGAACGAAGCACAAGGAUUGGAGAUCUUCGGAUCAAAGAGAGAUGUGACUUAGUGGCGGACGGGUGAGUAACGCGUGGGUAACCUGCCUUAUACAGGGGGAUAACAGUUAGAAAUGACUGCUAAUACCGCAUAACCCGCUAGUACCGCAUGGUACGGACGGAAAAGAUGUAUCGGUAUAAGAUGGACCCGCGUCUGAUUAGCUGGUUGGUGGGGUAAAGGCCUACCAAGGCGACGAUCAGUAGCCGACCUGAGAGGGUGAUCGGCCACAUUGGGACUGAGACACGGCCCAA
This 346-nucleotide ribosomal RNA is filed under the name uncultured bacterium. RNAcentral describes it as "bacterial SSU rRNA". It matches the Rfam family "Bacterial small subunit ribosomal RNA", at positions 8 to 334 of the family's 1533-position model. The record is from RNAcentral.